This 478-nucleotide ribosomal RNA is filed under the name uncultured bacterium. RNAcentral's name for it is "partial 16S ribosomal RNA". It matches the Rfam family "Bacterial small subunit ribosomal RNA", at positions 28 to 523 of the family's 1533-position model. The record is from RNAcentral.
GACGAACGCUGGCGGCGUGCUUAACACAUGCAAGUCGAACGGUAAGGCCCUUCGGGGUACACGAGUGGCGAACGGGUGAGUAACACGUGGGUGAUCUGCCCUGCACUUCGGGAUAAGCCUGGGAAACUGGGUCUAAUACCGGAUAGGACUCCGGACUGCAUGGUCUGGGGUGGAAAGCUUUUGCGGUGUGGGAGGGGCCCGCGGCCUAUCAGCUUGUUGGGGGGGUGAUGGCCGACCAAGGCGACGACGGAUAGCCGGCCUAAGAGGGUGACCGGCCACGCUGGGACUGGGAUACGGCCCAGACUCCUACGGGAAGCAGCAGUGGGGAAUAUUGCACAAUGGGCGCAAGCCUGAUGCAGCGACGCCGCGUGAGGGAUGACGGCCUUCGGGUUGUAAACCUCUUUCAGCAGCGACGAAGCGAAAGUGACGGUAGGUGCAGAAGAAGGACCGGCCAACUACGUGCCAGCCGCCGCUGUAA